RNAcentral lists this ribosomal RNA (486 nucleotides) under uncultured bacterium. RNAcentral describes it as "bacterial SSU rRNA". It matches the Rfam family "Bacterial small subunit ribosomal RNA", at positions 28 to 507 of the family's 1533-position model. The record is from RNAcentral.
GAUGAACGCUGGCGGCAGGCUUAAUACAUGCAAGUUGAACGGUAACAUGUUGUAGCAAUACGAUGAUGACGAGUGGCGCACGGGUGCGUAACACGUGUGUAACCUACCUUAUACAGGAACAUAACGUUGAGAAAUCGGCGCUAACAUUCCAUAAUAUUAUUUGUAGGCAUCUAUGAAUAAUUAAAACUCCGGUGGUAUAAGAUGGGCACGCGUUCCAUUAGCUAGUUGGUAAGGUAACGGCUUACCAAGGCAACGAUGGAUAGGGGUUCUGAGAGGAUAAUCCCCCACACUGGAACUGAGACACGGUCCAGACUCCUACGGGAGGCAGCAGUAAGGAAUAUUGGGCAAUGGAGGCAACUCUGACCCAGCCAUGCCGCGUGCAGGAAGACGGCCCUAUGGGUUGUAAACUGCUUUUAAUAGGGAUUAAAGUCGACUACGUGUAGUUGUUUGCAAGUACCUAUAGAAUAAGCAUCGGCUAACUCCGUG